UUUCUCUUGCCUUUUUGUUCGUCAACGUGUAACAUUUAGCGCUCGCCAUGUGAAAGAAACAAAGUUAAGAAAGUUCCGACUUACAUACAACGCACAAAGCGAGUCUCGAAUUCAUUCAUUCACUCACACAGUCACACUCUCCCUCGUCGCGCUCAUGGCAUCAUCCAUUAUCAUUUCCGAUACUCAGCCAUGGAAGGACCUGAAGGCGCAUGUGGAGGACAUCAAGAAAACGCAUCUUCGCGAUCUGUUGACCGAUGAUAAGCGGUGCCAGUCCAUGUUCCUUGAGUUCGAUGACAUUCUGUUGGACUAUUCAAGGCAACAAGCCACUCCCGAAACUAUCCAAAAACUACUUAAAUUGGCGGAGGCUGCAUCGCUCAGAGAUAAGAUUAACCGCAUGUACAGCGGGGAACAUAUUAACAGCACGGAAAACAGGUCCGUGCUUCACGUCGCCCUUCGUGCUUCAAGGGAUGCUGUCAUACAAAGUGAUGGGGAAAAUGUUGUGCCAGAAGUUUGGAAAGUUCUUGACAACAUCCAGGAGUUCUCUGAGCGGGUUCGCAAUGGUUCUUGGGUUGGUGCUACAGGAAAGGCUUUGAAGGACGUUGUUGCAAUUGGUAUUGGGGGAAGCUUCUUGGGUCCGCUGUUUGUACACACUGCACUUCAAACAGACCCUGAUGCUAUUGAAUCUGCAAGGGGUCGUCAGCUGCGCUUUCUUGCAAAUGUUGAUCCUAUUGACGUUGCUAGAAAUAUCACAGGAUUAAAUCCUGAAACAACACUUGUUGUGGUUGUUUCAAAGACUUUUACAACUGCUGAAACCAUGCUGAAUGCUCGAACUCUUAGAGAAUGGAUAUCAUCUGCACUUGGGCCCUCUGCUGUUGCAAAGCAUAUGGUGGCUGUUAGCACAAAUCUCAAGCUUGUGGAACAGUUUGGUAUUGACCCUAACAAUGCUUUUGCGUUUUGGGAUUGGGUCGGUGGGCGAUACAGUGUUUGCAGUGCUGUUGGAGUUUUGCCAUUGUCUUUACAAUACGGUUUCUCAGUAAUGGAGAAGUUCUUAAGUGGGGCUUCAAGCAUUGAUCAACAUUUCUAUUCACAGCCCUUUGAAAGCAAUAUACCUGUGCUUCUGGGUUUGUUGAGCAUAUGGAAUGUUUCAUUUCUUGGAUAUCCUGCCAGAGCCAUCUUACCUUAUAGUCAAGCUCUGGAGAAGUUGGCCCCCCACAUUCAACAGGUUAGCAUGGAGAGUAAUGGCAAGGGUGUUUCAAUUGAUGGUGUUCCUCUACCAUUUGAGGCUGGCGAAAUUGAUUUUGGUGAACCAGGAACUAAUGGGCAGCAUAGCUUUUAUCAGCUCAUACAUCAGGGGCGUGUAAUUCCUUGUGAUUUUAUUGGAGUUGUAAAAAGUCAGCAACCUGUCUUUCUGAAAGGUGAAGUAGUGAGUAACCAUGAUGAGCUCAUGUCCAACUAUUUUGCACAACCUGAUGCCCUUGCAUAUGGAAAGACAGCAGACCAGCUGCAAAAGGAGAAUGUUUCCCCACACCUUAUUCCUCACAAGACAUUCAGCGGUAACCGACCUUCUCUCAGCCUACUGCUUCCAUCAUUGAAUGCUUACAAUAUUGGGCAGGUACAUAGUCCGCAAGGUUGUGAUUAGUAAUUAAAGGAAAAUGGUUUAUUCCUGUUUACUUAUUUUAUCGAGCAUGUUCCUGAGGAAAAUUAGGUACAUGACUGAUGAGAAUUAUGCACAAUAAUAUAUUGAAUAUUCAUAUUUUUGCAAUAUGGACAUGCAUUUAGUUUAUUUUUUCUCUUUUGAAAAGCUAUUUGUCAUAUUCCAAACUAGGCAUUCACACUGGAGAUUUAACAUGAGAAAUAAGCAUUCACUUUGGAAAAGUUGUUUAUAGGGAGUAUUUUAGUUUUUAUUCUUUAAUGCCUAUUCCUUCAUAAUAUGUUGACAGUUUAGGCCAGUAUCAGAAUAACUACUGCAAAAGCUAUCUGUUUGGCAAAUAAUUUCAUUCAUUUUUCUUUCUGUUCGUUGUGUUUUCUCCAAUCCUUCAGUUUCUUUUUUUAGUUCUUGAUAGAAUAUAAAGGUGGCAUAUGUGCAUCUUUGGUUCCAUAAUCGAGUUGUAUAUUCUACAUAAUUGGUCAUAAUUACUUUAUUGGUCAUAAUUUCCUGGUGCUCUAUGUUCCUCAGUUGUUGGCAAUCUAUGAACACAGAAUUGCUGUAGAGGGUUUCAUUUGGGGAAUCAAUUCUUUUGAUCAGUGGGGAGUAGAGCUGGGGAAGUCACUGGCUACUCAAGUCAGAAAACAACUUAAUGCAUCUCGAACAAAACAAGAACCAGUUCAAGGUUUUAAUUUCAGUACAACAACAAUGUUGAAUAGAUAUCUUCAGGCAAGUUCAGAUAUCCCAGCGGAUCUGCCAACUUCUUUACCGAAGAUCGAAUAGCCUUUUUGCCAAUAGUUGUGUUCAUAAUGAAUAAUAAGAAAAUAAUCUGGUGAAUGUUAUAUAUACAGCACGCCUACGAACAUGUUUUUAUAUCCGUAUCGAUUUUAACUAGUUUAGCACGAUACGUGGUUAUCCUAUUCCCUUGCUGUCGAGUUAUCUUCUGCUGGAAAGUGAAAAGCAUUUUGGAUUCUAAA
Molecule: non-coding RNA, 2622 nt
Organism: Vigna umbellata (rice bean)
Lineage: Eukaryota; Viridiplantae; Streptophyta; Magnoliopsida; Fabales; Fabaceae
Source: RefSeq, a predicted model, not a curated record